CCUCGAAUCAGGUAGGAC
Molecule: ribosomal RNA, 18 nt
Filed under: Beauveria bassiana
Lineage: Eukaryota; Fungi; Ascomycota; Sordariomycetes; Hypocreales; Cordycipitaceae
Description: partial 28S ribosomal RNA
Source: RNAcentral